This 520-nucleotide ribosomal RNA is filed under the name uncultured Glomus. RNAcentral's name for it is "SSU rRNA". It matches the Rfam family "Eukaryotic small subunit ribosomal RNA", at positions 569 to 1091 of the family's 1831-position model. Lineage: Eukaryota; Fungi; Glomeromycota; Glomeromycetes; Glomerales; Glomeraceae. The record is from RNAcentral.
AGCAGCCGCGGUAAUUCCAGCUCCAAUAGCGUAUAUUAAAGUUGUUGCAGUUAAAAAGCUCGUAGUUGAAUUUCGGGGUCAGUAGAUUGGUCAUGCCUCCGGUAUGUACUGGUCUUACUGGCUCCUCCUUCCUGAUGAACCGUAAUGCCAUUAAUUUGGUGUUGCGGGGAGACUGGACUGUUACUUUGAAAAAAUUAGAGUGUUUAAAGCAGGCUAACGCUUGAAUACAUUAGCAUGGAAUAAUGAAAUAGGACGUUCGAUCUUAUUUUGUUGGUUUCUAAGAUUGACGUAAUGAUUAAUAGGGAUAGUUGGGGGCAUUAGUAUUCAAUUGUCAGAGGUGAAAUUCUUGGAUUUAUUGAAGACUAACUACUGCGAAAGCAUUUGCCAAGGAUGUUUUCAUUAAUCAAGAACGAAAGUUAGGGGAUCGAGGACGAUCAGAUACCGUCGUAGUCUUAACCAUAAACUAUGCCGACUAGGGAUCGGAUGAUGUUAAUUUUUAAUGACUCAUUCGGCGCCUUAA